RNAcentral lists this small RNA (745 nucleotides) under Pan troglodytes (chimpanzee). RNAcentral describes it as "processed transcript". The record is from RNAcentral. Lineage: Eukaryota; Metazoa; Chordata; Mammalia; Primates; Hominidae.
UUUCCUAGAGUCUCUGAAGCCACAGAUCUCUUAAGAACUUUCUGUCUCCAAACCGUGGCUGCUCGAUAAAUCAGACAGAACAGUUAAUCCUCAAUUUAAGCCUGAUCUAACCCUUAGAAACAGACUUUCCCAACCUCUGGUAACCACGAUGCUACUCUCUGCCUCCAUGAAAUCAACUUUUAUUUUAAGCUUCCACAUGUGAGUGAGAACAUCACAGGAAUUAAGGAUAACCUAGAUGACAUAAAGAGGAUAAUUAAAGCCAGAGAGCACAGAAAUAGGCUUCUAGCAGACAUCAGAGACUACAAGCCCUAUGCAGACUUGGUUUCAGAAAUUCGUAUUCUUUUGGUGGGUCCAAUUGGGUCUGGAAAGUCCAGUUUUUUCAAUUCAGUCAAGUCUAUUUUUCAUGGCCAUGUGACUGGCCAAGCCGUAGUGGGGUCUGAUAUCACCAGCAUAACCGAGCGGUAUAGGAUAUAUUCUGUUAAAGAUGGAAAAAAUGGAAAAUCUCUGCCAUUUAUGUUGUGUGACACUAUGGGGCUAGAUGGGGCAGAAGGAGCAGGACUGUGCAUGGAUGACAUUCCCCACAUCUUAAAAGGUUGUAUGCCAGACAGAUAUCAGUUUAAUUCCCGUAAACCAAUUACACCUGAGCAUUCUACUUUUAUCACCUCUCCAUCUCUGAAGGACAGGAUUCACUGUGUGGCUUAUGUCUUAGACAUCAACUCUAUUGACAAUCUCUCCUCUAAAAUGU